Molecule: RNA transcript, 1993 nt
Organism: Lycium ferocissimum
Lineage: Eukaryota; Viridiplantae; Streptophyta; Magnoliopsida; Solanales; Solanaceae
Exons: 2
Source: RefSeq, a predicted model, not a curated record
UAAUGUUGAGUGUCACUUUUUACCACAAUCGAAUUGUUGGGAAGCGUCAUGCCUUAGCGAGACACUUAGCUAUAUUAGUUAAUGAUCAUAAUAUGUGUCCAUUGCGCGUACAUUAAUGGGUGGACAUCAAGGAUUAUAAGCUGGAUCACAUGUGGGCAGUUGUGACUAUAAGGAUUUAAAACAUGAGUUUUUUGUUUUGCCUUCUCAUUUUAUUCUUUUACAAAUACUUGUGAGCUUAUAUCAUUGUAUUUGUUGAGUUAUUUUCUAUUUGAUUUGUCAGAAUCUGUAAAGAAAAUAGUUGAUAUGCUAUAUUGGACUUGUGAAACUCAGUGUUAUUAAAAGCGCUCGCUUUGUCGCCUAAAGCAUUGAGGUAAGGCGACUGGCUUGUGCUUUAGAAGGCUGAGGCGAUGCUGGUAAAAAGAAGGGACUCUUCUCCUCAAGAAGAUCGAAGUGGAGGAGAAGCGAGAAGCAUGCGCUUCGUUUAUUUUAAUAAAAAGUUGACUUUAAACAGAAAAGGAUUCAACUUUCUUACUAGUUUUGCUGCUCUCUUCCUUGGUCUGGUUUCUAUACUUCAAGCUACAGGUAUGAUUAUUUCUUCUUCUUCCCCUCCUCCUCUUCUCUUCUUCGUCUCGUCUCUGAUAUCGUCGCUGCUGCUGUUUUUUUUCUUUCUCUUCUUUUCUUUUAUCUUAUGUCGCUGCUACUGCAGCGUUUUUCUCCUCUUCUUCUUUUCUCUUUUCUGAUAUCACUGCUGCUGCUGCUUUUUUUUUCUUUCUUUUCUAUUCUCUGAUCUAAUAUCACUGCUACUGCAAUAUGAGCAUCAUGGUGACAGAUGCAAGGUUCAACAUUUUUGCCCAUAUAUAUUAGAAUAUUUGUCCAUGAUGCAACUUCUAUGUUGACAUUUAAUUCUUUUUAUUUUAAGAAUUUGCAGCCUGUUAGUUGGAUAGUAGUGCAUCCACUAUACUGGCUAUCAAAGAUGUGGAGAUAGCUUGUUCUCUGCAUUGAAUUUGAGUUCCAUUAUAUUCUCAUGAAAUUUGGAAAACUGGAAAAUGAUGUCCGGUAUCAUUCAAUUUAUACCAGGUUCUACAAUAACAUGCCUUCUAUACCAAAGCUGAUUCCUUAAACAUAUUAGUAGAAGUAACUCACUUUCUAAUAACAGGAGUAUCUGGUUUCCAAUCUUCUGUGUAAAGAGUUUCUCCAGUAGUUUUUUGGUAGUAUUGAAAACAACUGAUAGAAUAUGUUUCAUUAUUUCAUAUUCUUACCGAUUCCUUUUGAUCCUAGGCUUCAGAAUCUGUGAUGCGAAACCAAGACCUUUUAAUUGUUUUAAGUUGAUGUACUUAUUAAAGUUUUGUGAUUUGUUGCUAUGUGAAGAUAAUGAGUAUGGAUAAGGUAGAAGAGUCAUGAUUAUUCUAUUCAUUAAAUAAAAUACAGAUGUCAUGAUAUUUUUAUUACUAAAACCUAUAUGAAAAGUGGUUUAGGUCCUAUUUAGGAGAUUUUCUCAUUAGUUGCUCUAAUUUGAUGGAAUAAAGUUAUGUAUGAGGUUGCCUACUUGGAACUAAAAGCUGGACAUCAAUCAAUCAGGGGAAUCUUGAAUUAGAAUUUUGAUACUCUAGAGCUUGAGCUUUACGAGAUAGAGAAUCUUUUUCUCUUGGCUUGCACAUUCUCUUGCCUAUCUAUUAGGAGUUUUGUUACUGUAUUGAGAUGACCUUUCUUCUUUUAACAAAUCAAGAUUUACAAUAUACAAGCUGGAUUCUAAAGAACUGGCCUGCUACCCUUGAAGAAAGUGCAGAACAAUUGAAGCAAUCUACUUUGGUUUUGUUACAAUCUGUUUAGAAAUGUCACAUUUGUAAAAGCUAUAAUUUUAUUCUCUUUUGUUUGGAGUUGACAAAUAUAAUGUCAUGUAAUCUGAAUGUGUAUAUUUUUAUAUUUUUUUUAUUAAUGUAAUGAUUUUUUUUUUCAAGUGUCCAAUAAUUUUUAUUAAAAGCACCUGUAACAA